AGCCAUGCAUGUCUAAGUAUAAAUAGUAUACAGUGAAACUGCGAAUGGCUCAUUAAAACAGUUAUAGUUUAUUUGAUAAUGGAAAGCUACAUGGAUAACCGUGGUAAUUCUAGAGCUAAUACAUGCUGUUAAACCCGACUUUUUGGAAGGGUUGUAUUUAUUAGAUAUUAAAGCCAAUAUUCCUUCGGGUCUAUUGUGGUGAAUCAUAGUAACUGAUCGAAUCCCUUUACGGGAUAAAUCAUUCAAGUUUCUGCCCUAUCAGCUUUCGAUGGUAGUGUAUUGGACUACCAUGGCAGUUACGGGUAACGGAGAAUUAGGGUUCGGUUCCGGAGAGGGAGCCUGAGAAACGGCUACCACAUCUAAGGAAGGCAGCAGGCGCGUAAAUUACCCAAUCCCGAUUCGGGGAGGUAGUGACAAGAAAUAACAACCUGGGGGACUUUGUCCUUACGGGAUUGCAAUGAGAACAAUUUAAACGACUUAUCGAGGAACAAUUGGAGGGCAAGUCUGGUGCCAGCAGCCGCGGUAAUUCCAGCUCCAAUAGCGUAUAUUAAAGUUGUUGCAGUUAAAAAGCUCGUAGUUGAACUUCUGUACGUGCCCGGUUCUGGCUUCGGUCAAGCUGCGGUGCGUGCAUCCGCUUGCAAACCUGGCCCGGCCUUUACUGGUCGACCAGGGGAGUAGGCCUUUUACUUUGAAAAAAUUAGAGUGUUUCAAGCAGGCAAUGGCUCGAAUACAUUAGCAUGGAAUAAUAGAAUAGGACUUUUGUCCAUUUGGUUGGUUAUUGGACAUGAGUAAUGAUUAACAGGGACAGUUGGGGGCAUUAGUAUUUAAUUGUCAGA
Molecule: ribosomal RNA, 836 nt
Filed under: uncultured alveolate
Lineage: Eukaryota
Description: SSU rRNA
Rfam family: Eukaryotic small subunit ribosomal RNA
Source: RNAcentral